GAUGAACGCUGGCGGCGUGCCUAAUACAUGCAAGUCGAGCGAACGGACGAGAAGCUUUCUUCUCUGAUGUUAGCGGGGGACGGGUGAGUAACACGUGGAUAACCUACCUAUCAGACUGGGAUAACUUCGGGAAACCGGAGCUAAUUCCGGCUAAUAUUGUGAACCGCAUGGUUCAAAAGUGAAAGACGGUCUUCGUGUCACUUAGAGAUGGAUCCGCGCUGCAUUAGCUAGUUGGUAAGGUAACGGCUUACCAAGGCAACGAUGCAUAGCCGACCUGAGAGGGUGAUCGGCCACACUGGAACUGAGACACGGUCCAGACUCCUACGGGAGGCAGCAGUAGGGAAUCUUCCGCAAUGGGCGAAAGCCUGACGGAGCAACGCCGCGUGAGUGAUGAAGGUCUUCGGAUCGUAAAACUCUGUUAUUAGGGAAGAACAUAUGUGUAAGUAACUGUGCACAUCUUGACGGUACCUAAUCAGAAAGCCACGGCUAACUACGUG
RNAcentral lists this ribosomal RNA (497 nucleotides) under uncultured bacterium. RNAcentral describes it as "partial 16S ribosomal RNA". It matches the Rfam family "Bacterial small subunit ribosomal RNA", at positions 28 to 507 of the family's 1533-position model. The record is from RNAcentral.